GGUAGCGAAAUUCCUUGUCGGUUAAAUACCGACCUGCAUGAAUGGCGUAACGAGAUGGGAGCUGUCUCAAAGAGGGAUCCAGUGAAAUUGUAGUGGAGGUGAAAAUUCCUCCUACCCGCGGCAAGACGGAGAGACCCCGUGGACCUUUACUAUAGCUUGACACUGCUAUUUGGAUAAGAAUGUGCAGGAUAGGUGGGAGGCUUUGAGUAUAUGACGCCAGUUGUAUAUGAGCCAUUGUUGAGAUACCACUCUUUCUUAUUUGGGUAGCUAACCAGCUUGAGUUAUCCUCAAGUGGGACAAUGUCUGGUGGGUAGUUUGACUGGGGCGGUCGCCUCCCAAAUAAUAACGGAGGCUUACAAAGGUUGGCUCAGAACGGUUGGAAAUCGUUCGUAGAGUAUAAAGGUAUAAGCCAGCUUAACUGCAAGACAUACAAGUCAAGCAGAGACGAAAGUCGGUCUUAGUGAUCCGGUGGUUCUGUGUGGAAGGGCCAUCGCUCAAAGGAUAAAAGGU
Molecule: ribosomal RNA, 510 nt
Filed under: Campylobacter coli
Lineage: Bacteria; Pseudomonadati; Campylobacterota; Epsilonproteobacteria; Campylobacterales; Campylobacteraceae
Description: bacterial LSU rRNA
Rfam family: Bacterial large subunit ribosomal RNA
Source: RNAcentral